This 229-nucleotide ribosomal RNA is filed under the name uncultured bacterium. Its description in RNAcentral is "partial 16S ribosomal RNA". It matches the Rfam family "Bacterial small subunit ribosomal RNA", at positions 568 to 796 of the family's 1533-position model. The record is from RNAcentral.
CGUGUAGGCGGUUUAGCAAGUCAGAUGUGAAAGCCCUGGGCUUAACCCGGGAAGUGCAUUUGGAACUGCUUCACUAGAGUAUGGGAGAGGAGAUUGGAAUUCCUGGUGUAGAGGUGAAAUUCGUAGAUAUCAGGAGGAACACCCGUGGCGAAGGCGAUUCUCUGGACCAAUACUGACGCUGAGACGCGAAAGCGUGGGGAGCAAACAGGAUUAGAUACCCUGGUAGUCC